Molecule: long non-coding RNA, 3931 nt
Filed under: Homo sapiens (human)
Lineage: Eukaryota; Metazoa; Chordata; Mammalia; Primates; Hominidae
Description: non-protein coding LINC00937:20
Source: RNAcentral
CUUCCGCAAGUGUAGGCAGAGCCCCCGGAGCCAUGGCCAGCCCUUCCCGCAGCUCCGAAGCCACUGGCAAGCCCCGAGGCAGGGAUGGCCGGCCCAGGAGGGAGGAGGACGACGUCCCUCCCGAAGAGAAGAGGCUGCGGCUCUUGCUGGAGGGGGGAAGCGCACAGCCCCAGGACGGCGAGGACGGGGAGGACGCGCCGCGGCCGGGCAGGGUGGAGACCGGCACCCAGACAGGUGGCGACGGCAGAGGAGUAAGUGACGCGGGCGCGGGGGUCCGGGGGUGCCGGGUGCGCGGGGAUGCGGGGAACGAGGGGUAGGGGCGGCGAGAGGCUCCGUGGCCUGCCCCGGGUUGAAGUUGGGAGGGCGGCCUUCAUUCUGAACCCAUUUAGGCAGCACGGGCAGCCCUCCUCGCCGUGGGCUGCAUCAGAGCCCCCCCUGCCCAGUCUUGGGGUUGCUCCCGGAUGCUGUCUGGGAGGCUUGGUCAUGGUGACAUCCUCAUCUCCCCGUGCACGUUACCGCAUUCAGAGCUUGGGUCACCUGGACACUGAACUCAGGCGAAUUUUCUCUGAGAUCCCGGGAGAAGGAGGACAGUUCUUUGGAAGGUUUUCCAGGGCCGAUCACGGAAAGGAUGAGAAGGGAGAGGUCCUGGUCGGGGACACAAUUACAAUGGCAGUGUAACGCCGGGAAACUUCAUUGCAUGAAGUCCUUCUCACUCCCUCUACCUACCUCUUUUACGUGGACUCUGCCAAAGACCAGGAUACCACAAUGCAGUGGAGUGACCAAGUGUAGUGGGACCUUGGGAACCCGAGUCUGGAGCCAGGCGGCUGGGGUUUGCAUCCUGGUUCUGCCCCUCCUUAGCUGGCUGACAUGGCACAAGCCACUUACCCUCUCUGAGCCUUACUGUCUUCAGUGGCAAAUGGAUUUGCCAACAGGCCCCAUUGCCUGGGGUUGUUACUGCUGAGAUUAAGGGAUGCUCGUCCAUAGAAGCACUUAGCGUUGUGCCUGGCACAUAGUGUAUGGUGGAUAAAUGGGACUUAGGACUAAAACUCAUGCCUUGGUGUGUUUUUGCAGUGAUGUUUUGUUCUGGGGUGCAUCACAAGAGACAAGGUUCCUGGCCGGGCAUGGUGGCUCAAGCCAAUAAUUCCAACACUUUGAGAGGCCGAAAGGGGAGGAUCGCUUGAGCCCAGGAGUUUAAGACCAGCUGGGCAACAUGGCGAAGCCUCAUAUCUACCAAAAAAAAAAAAAAAAAAAAAAAAAAAAAAAAAAAAAGCCAGGUAUGGUGGUGUGUGCCUGUAGUCCCAAGUACUUGGGAGGCUGAGGUGGGAGGAUUACUAGAGCCUGGAAGGUCGGGCUGCAGUGAGCUGUGAUCAUGCCACUGCACUCCAGCCUGGGUGACAAAGUGAGACUCUGUUUCAAGGAAAAGAGAGAGAGACAGACAGACCCACAAGAGUCUUAAGCCAGAAUCUUCAUGUUAAAAUGCCUUCUGGAGGCUAAAAGGAUGAUAUGUUGAUAAUGAAAUAUUUAAAAGGCAGAAACCCCACUGAAUUGUUUGGUCCACAGAGGGAAAUGGGAAUCGCAUGACCUGAAGGAUGAUGGAGGAACUGAACAGAAACCAUCCUUGUUUCCUGAAUCUGAACAUGGCACCCUCUUUUCACGGUGUCUGUAUCUGCUCAGUCCGGCGGCCCCUCGAAAAGAGGGAAUCUUGAUUUUCAAACUUAAAAUUUGGCCCAAAGCCCACUGCUGCCCACAAUGCCCGUCAGACACAUUCCUCUUCCUUUUUAGUUUCUAUGGGAAUACUCUCUUUGAAGAACCCAUGAAGCAGUGUCAGGCUGGUACGAGGAUCAGCAGUGAUUUCUUUGAGGAGGAGAUCCGUUUCUUCACUCACAGGUCAUGUCUGAGUGGAUCAAGAAGAACAGAGGGCCCUUUUAUGAGAUUUUGUCUGCGUAGACCAUUAGCUUGGUAAAAAUGUCAAAACCAUCCUCAUUCUUUAAUAGCAGAUUAUUUUGGACUUUUCUCUGCAAGAAGCAGCAUGGGCAUUCAGAUGCGUUUAAGGAUAAAAUGUUCUUUCUCAUCACCAGGCCUGGUGCUCUGGAUGGCUGAGGUUUUAAUGUGACUUGGUGUUCCUUGGAGUGGCUCCCAGGCUGUGAUCUUGUGGUCGGGUGGCAAGGGGUUGCUUUAUUCGGUGAUGGCUAGAGGAUGUUUUAGCAGGUAAAUCGGGAUCUCAGGAGCCCCUGAGUGCCAAGUCCUGCUGCAGGGCAUGUGUUUAUGGUGGGGAUGUGGGGGCGUGGAGGGUGGGGGGUAUUGAUUUCCUGCCAAUAUCAGAAGUUUCACAGGCUUCUUGUGUAUCCACAAACACCCACCCCAUUGAGAAGGCCUAGAAAACCUGGCCCUCCCCAAGCCUUUAUUGACCACUUGUGAAUGAUCCCAGGGUGUGUCUGACCCACAGCUCCUCCUGGAGGGAGAGAAAAGUGUCUCCUAGGUACUUGGUUAUCAACCUCAACCACUUGCUGAGCCUUCCCCAAGACCAGGCAUCUUGGCAGAGAUUUCUGGGUUGUCAGGCAGAACCGAGCAUUCGAGGGUAAUAACUCACUGGAGUCCCUGAAAUCCCUGAUGGACACACCAGGUAAAAGCAUCCAGGGUUGAAACCAGAUCAGGAAGGUUGUUGUCAGCCUGGGGCUCCUGUAGAGGUGCAUCCACGUUGCAGGGAUUUUCCUUCUUGCUGAGGAGAAACCUGGUUUCUCAGCUUUGCCACAGUCACAACACUUGGGGUGAGACCAUUCAUGGUGGUGGUGGGGGCAUCCUGUGUAUUGUAGGAUGGCUAGCACCAUCCCUGGUCUCCAUCCUCUAGGUGCCAUUCUAUCCUCCCAGCUGUGGCUACCCCAGAUGUCUCCAGAUGGUCUCAAAUGCUGUGGGGCAAGGGAGUGCUGGACUACACAGGCUGAAGCUCUCUCUGCCGAGAUAUAGAUAUUUCCCUGGUGACGAUCUUUCAAGCUGACAUGAAGACAUGGCCACCCACUGGAACGUCGUGUGUCUGCCGUGGCGCUCUUGUAAUUUGUGAGGCAGGCUCCUGAGGAAUGCAGUGCGUAAGUGGGAAAUGGUGGGAAGUUCUCGCAUCCCCCCCCGGGCCGAAAGUGCUGCCUGCACAGGUUGGUGGAUGGUCCUUUGAGCAGGAAGAAGACAUGAAGCACAUUCCUGUUAGCUACGACAGAGAGGGGCAGGGCACACACUGGACAUUUCAAGCCCCUCCAGAAAAGCAAGUCUUACUGUGCUGGGAGUACUUGUGGAGUGCGGGCUGUGUUGCCCUGGGCUUUAAUUAUUUCAGGAACAUUUAACCACAGGGUUGGCAGGCCGGAUCUUGAUACGUGUUUCUUAGUUGGAAAGACUUUGGACCAUAGGGAAAUGUCUUCUCAAUUCUUUUAAUUUCAUUAAGGUUAUCAUUUUUCUUCUUGUGGCCUCUGGAAUGUGACACAGAACUCAAGAGACAGGAAGGAAAUGAGUUGAAGGCUGGGACAGGGGUCCCUGCCAGGGAUGCUGGUGACUCACAUGACGGUGUUGAUGUGUGGAGUCCGGUGCCUGGUUUGGGGAGUGUUCAUGGGAUAUGUUCCAAAGGACUGACGGACCUAUCAGUGCUUUCUGUCUUGUUAUCACAUUUCCUUGGAGGAGAGCCCAGCCUUGGUGGAGAGCCCUGCUCUGGCUUUGUCCCUCGGCAUGAGAUGGCAGAGGAUGGUGCUGCUGGGAGACCCUCACGUCUGCACACUGGGGGCUGCUUGCCUUCUCCAUUCCUCCUUCAAGUAUCUGAGCAGCUCCUGUGUGCCAGCUGCUGGUCUACAAGAUGGAUGGGUCCUUGGAGAUCACGCUGUAGCAGAGGAGGCAGGCUGUAGCCCACACGCCACAACCAGCCCCCUGCCUGUUCACACAAAUAAAGUUUUAU